GUGGGGAAUAUUGGACAAUGGGGGCAACCCUGAUCCAGCAAUGCCGCGUGCAGGAAGAAGGCCUUCGGGUUGUAAACUGCUUUUGUACGGAACGAAACGGUCUGGGUUAAUACCCUGGGCUAAUGACGGUACCGUAAGAAUAAGCACCGGCUAACUACGUGCCAGCAGCCGCGGUAAUACGUAGGGUGCGAGCGUUAAUCGGAAUUACUGGGCGUAAAGCGUGCGCAGGCGGUUUUGUAAGACAGUCGUGAAAUCCCCGGGCUCAACCUGGGAAUGGCGCUUGUGACUGCAAAGCUGGAGUGCGGCAGAGGGGGAUGGAAUUCCGCGUGUAGCAGUGAAAUGCGUAGAUAUGCGGAGGAACACCGAUGGCGAAGGCAAUCCCCUGGGCCUGCACUGACGCUCAUGCACGAAAGCGUGGGGAGCAAACAGGAUUAGAAACCCCGGUAGUCC
This 450-nucleotide ribosomal RNA is filed under the name uncultured bacterium. RNAcentral's name for it is "partial 16S ribosomal RNA". It matches the Rfam family "Bacterial small subunit ribosomal RNA", at positions 354 to 796 of the family's 1533-position model. The record is from RNAcentral.